AAGUCGUAACAAGGUUUCCGUAGGUGAACCUGCGGAAGGAUCAUUAAUGAGAUUGCUGUGGAUGUCAUGUCCACCUGCAAGAUUCAUCCUUGUGUUAUGUAAUUGUUGAUUGUGUGCUGUAACAAGUGCACGUUCAUUUUUAACCAUCAAUUCUUAUUCUUAUUCUACUGCCUGUAAAGGCACAAACAAUCGAAAACUGCCAGCAAUGGAUCACUCGGUUCUC
This 223-nucleotide unclassified non-coding RNA is filed under the name fungal sp. Its description in RNAcentral is "partial internal transcribed spacer region". The stretch from base 1 to 46 matches the Rfam family "Eukaryotic small subunit ribosomal RNA", at positions 1786 to 1831 of the family's 1831-position model. The record is from RNAcentral. Lineage: Eukaryota; Fungi.